GGAGUACGGCCGCAAGGUUAAAACUCAAAUGAAUUGCCGGGGGCCCGCACAAGCGGUGGAGCAUGUGGUUUAAUUCGAUGCAACGCGAAGAACCUUACGUACUCUUGACAUCCAGAGAACUUAGCAGAGAUGCUUUGGUGCCUUCGGGAACUCUGAGACAGGUGUUGCAUGGCUGUCGUCAGCUCGUGUUGUGAAAUGUUGGGUUAAGUCCCGCAACGAGCGCAACCCUUAUCCUUUGUUGCCAGCGGUUAGGCCGGGAACUCAAAGGAGACUGCCAGUGAUAAACUGGAGGAAGGUGGGGAUGACGUCAAGUCAUCAUGGCCCUUACGAGUAGGGCUACACACGUGCUACAAUGGCGCAUACAAAGAGAAUCGACCUCGCGAGAGCAAGCGGACCUCAUAAAGUGCGUCGUAGUCCGGAUUGGAGUCUGCAACUCGACUCCAUGAAGUCGGAAUCGCUAGUAAUCGUGGAUCAGAAUGCCACGGUGAAUACGUUCCCGGGCCUUGUACACACCGCCCGUCACACCAUGGGAGUGGGUUGCAAAAGAAGUAGGUAGCUUAACCUUCGGGAGGGCGCUUCCCACUUUGUGAUUCAUGCCUGCGGGAAGCC
This 609-nucleotide ribosomal RNA is filed under the name Enterobacter hormaechei subsp. xiangfangensis. RNAcentral's name for it is "bacterial SSU rRNA". It matches the Rfam family "Bacterial small subunit ribosomal RNA", at positions 877 to 1487 of the family's 1533-position model. The record is from RNAcentral. Lineage: Bacteria; Pseudomonadati; Pseudomonadota; Gammaproteobacteria; Enterobacterales; Enterobacteriaceae.